This 510-nucleotide ribosomal RNA is filed under the name uncultured bacterium. RNAcentral's name for it is "bacterial SSU rRNA". It matches the Rfam family "Bacterial small subunit ribosomal RNA", at positions 8 to 518 of the family's 1533-position model. The record is from RNAcentral.
AGAGUUUGAUCCUGGCUCAGGAUGAACGCUGGCGGCGUGCCUAACACAUGCAAGUCGAACGGGGUUAAGACAGGCAGAGAUUCGGUCGAAGCGGUUUAACCUAGUGGCGGACGGGUGAGUAACGCGUGGGGAACCUGCCCUGUACCGGGGGGAUAACAGUGAGAAAUCACUGCUAAUACCGCAUAAGCGCACGGCACCGCAUGGUGCAGUGUGAAAAACUCCGGUGGUACAGGAUGGACCCGCGUUGGAUUAGCCAGUUGGCGGGGUAACGGCCCACCAAAGCGACGAUCCAUAGCCGGCCUGAGAGGGUGAACGGCCACAUUGGGACUGAGACACGGCCCAGACUCCUACGGGAGGCAGCAGUGGGGAAUAUUGCACAAUGGGGGAAACCCUGAUGCCAGCGACGCCGCGUGAAGGAAGAAGUAUUUCGGUAUGUAAACUUCUAUCAGCAGGGAAGAUGAUGACGGUACCUGACUAAGAAGCCCCGGCUAACUACGUGCCAGCAGCCGC